This 102-nucleotide small nuclear RNA is filed under the name Phascolarctos cinereus (koala). The record is from RNAcentral. Lineage: Eukaryota; Metazoa; Chordata; Mammalia; Diprotodontia; Phascolarctidae.
GUGCUAAUGUCAUCAAUAUAUAUAUUAAAAUUGGACACACAGAGAUUAGCAUGGCUCCUUUGCAAAAAUGACUUGCAAAUUGGUGAAGCAUUUUGUACUUUG